This 445-nucleotide ribosomal RNA is filed under the name uncultured bacterium. RNAcentral describes it as "bacterial SSU rRNA". It matches the Rfam family "Bacterial small subunit ribosomal RNA", at positions 354 to 796 of the family's 1533-position model. The record is from RNAcentral.
GUGAGGAAUAUUGUGCAAUGGAGGCAACUCUGACGCAGCCAUGCCGCGUGCAGGAAGAAGGCGCUACGCGUUGUAAACUGCUUUUAACCGGGAAGAAACCCCAGGACGUGUCCUGGGUUGACGGUACCGGAGGAAUAAGCACCGGCUAACUUCGUGCCAGCAGCCGCGGUAAUACGAAGGGUGCAAGCGUUAUCCGGAUUCAUUGGGUUUAAAGGGUGCGUAGGCGGAGCGUUAAGUCAGUGGUGAAAUCCUGCAGCUUAACUGUAGACUUGCCAUUGAUACUGGCGCUCUUGAGUGCGCUUGAAGUGGGCGGAAUGUGCCGUGUAGCGGUGAAAUGCUUAGAUAUGGCACAGAACACCAAUUGCGAAGGCAGCUCACUAAGGCGAUACUGACGCUGAGGCACGAAAGCGUGGGGAUCGAACAGGAUUAGAAACCCGGGUAGUCC